GGGCUUGAAGUAGUGCUAAGCGUCAUGAAGUUAGAGAGCCACCAACCUUUAAGGCUUAUGAGCAUUGCGAAGAUAGUGAGCUCUUUGUGUUCUUGACACUGAGGGGAAACUCUAGGUUGUUGAGCGCUAUCCUAUCUAUUUGGUGGGCACUGAGCGGUAAAAAGUGACGUUGAGCGCCACUUCUCUGUUGUAGGUUUGAGCUUUUAUUUCUAUUAAUUCGCAAGGUGAGUGACUUGCUCGCUGGGGACCAAUCUAGUAUUAGGCCUCUAUUUUGGGUUUUCCUUUAAGUUUUUUGUACUUUCAAAAGUUGAUUUGGUUUAGAAUGUUUUAUACAGAUUGAUCAUAUUAAUGUGGAUAUUGAGUAUGUUAAUGGAUGAUGAAUAUGGUGGUGUGUAUGAUUCUACUUCAAGUAUGAUAUGAGAGUGAUAAUGAAUUCUAGUUGUUGGUAUAAUAUCGAUGCUUGGCGUAAUUCCAUGGACCUCAUGGUGAGACUUCAUGGUGGUGUUCAAUAGUUAUGUGUUUGGCAUAAUUUCAUAUAUAAGUAGAUUUUAUGGUGGUGUUCAGUAGUGUGAUGUGUUGAUAUAGGGACUCAG
This 593-nucleotide long non-coding RNA is filed under the name Vigna radiata. RNAcentral's name for it is "long non-coding RNA (VRAD_LNC000298)". Lineage: Eukaryota; Viridiplantae; Streptophyta; Magnoliopsida; Fabales; Fabaceae. The record is from RNAcentral.